AAAGUGUUGCGUGUGUGGUCUCCAUUAGCUGCUCCGCUCCGACAGCCAACCAGGAGCUCUGGGGUCGUAAAAGCCCACAGUAACGAGUGUGCAUUGGCGUCAUCAGAGCGUUGUGUGUGUGUGUGGAGUUGAAGUGAAUAUGACCACACAAAGCCUGCUUCUGCUGGACCCUUGGCUGAACAAAGAGGUCUGAUGAGGAGGGUUAGGAUCUGAGGCUAAGCUGUAAUUGAAUGCCAACAGGAGUGGUGUUUUUCCUCAGACCUCUGAAGGAGGACCUGACCUUGCGCCGCUGACAGACAGGCAACGCAAAGACCCAGCUGGAUAAUUAGAUUAAAAAACACGGAUCCCAAGGGAUGGAGAUGUGACAAGCACG
This is a long non-coding RNA of Gasterosteus aculeatus aculeatus (three-spined stickleback), 373 nucleotides long. The record is from Ensembl. NCBI's taxonomy places the organism in Eukaryota, Metazoa, Chordata, Actinopteri, Perciformes, Gasterosteidae.